GGGAAAGUAGCUCAGUGGUACAGCGCUUGCCUUGCAUGCAUGAGGCCCUGGGUUCGAUUCCUCAGCACCCCA
Dipodomys ordii (Ord's kangaroo rat) is the source of this 72-nucleotide non-coding RNA. The record is from Rfam. NCBI's taxonomy places the organism in Eukaryota, Metazoa, Chordata, Mammalia, Rodentia, Heteromyidae.